This 497-nucleotide ribosomal RNA is filed under the name uncultured bacterium. Its description in RNAcentral is "partial 16S ribosomal RNA". It matches the Rfam family "Bacterial small subunit ribosomal RNA", at positions 28 to 507 of the family's 1533-position model. The record is from RNAcentral.
GAUGAACGCUGGCGGCGUGCCUAAUACAUGCAAGUCGAGCGAACGGACGAGAAGCUUGCUUCUCUGAUGUUAGCGGCGGACGGGUGAGUGACACGUGGAUAACCUACCUAUAAGACUGGGAUAACUUCGGGAAACCGGAGCUAAUACCGGAUAAUAUUUUGAACCGCAUGGUUCAAAAGUGAAAGACGGUCUUGCUGUCACUUAUAGAUGGAUCCGCGCUGCAUUAGCUAGUUGGUAAGGUAACGGCUUACCAAGGCAACGAUGCAUAGCCGACCUGAGAGGGUGAUCGGCCACACUGGAACUGAGACACGGUCCAGACUCCUACGGGAGGCAGCAGUAGGGAAUCUUCCGCAAUGGGCGAAAGCCUGACGGAGCAACGCCGCGUGAGUGAUGAAGGUCUUCGGAUCGUAAAACUCUGUUAUUAGGGAAGAACAUAUGUGUAAGUAACUGUGCACAUCUUGACGGUACCUAAUCAGAAAGCCACGGCUAACUACGUG